GUACUGUUUAUUUCUUCUUUGUAAAGUAAAGAGAAAUCAUGUUAACCAGGUCAAUGUGAUCCUGCAAUUUUUUUUUUUUUAGUUAACUUGGAUGAUUUUUAUCUUGCUUUAAUAGAAGAAACCCGGCCACUUCAGAGUCUGCAAAUGGAGCUCCUUGUCACUGAGCUCCAGAGAUGUAAACAGAAGUAGCAAACAGGUUCCUCUUUUAGUGUAAACAAAUAAGUGAUUUUUUAAAAAAAACUUCUGAAGGGAUUACUUGUCCAUAAUGUGAAUUUUACAUUUUUAUUCACAUAUUCAUCCAUAAGAAACACUAGGUGAAUGCAAAAAAACUGGGCCAAAUAGGCCUGGCGCAUACACACACCUCAAACAUCUCUAGCUUCCUCAGCAGAUGGUGUCUGAUUAUGAGCCACCAUGAACUGAUUUUACUCCACGUUUAUAAUACUUCUGAUGGCCACUCCCACAAGAAAACUUCAGGGUUUCUUUCAAGCAGAAGAAUCACAGAAGAAUACAAUAAAUGGUCUAGAAACUGCAGUGAUGAUUUACUAAAGGAAGAGCGUGGUUCCCUGAGCAAUGGCCCCAUCCUCGAGCCCGAAGACCCACUGCCCUAAAUGAGGACAGACAUUUGUUUUUGCACUCAAAAAAGUUGCCUUGUGGCUCGCCAUGCCCCCUAGUCUUGCCCCCAAAUAAACUCGAGACCUUAGCGGGCACGCACUCAAGUGGCUGAACAUGAAGACCAGCAGAACAGUGCCGGCGGAAUGACAUGGCAGAGAAAGAGAGAAGAGGAGGGACAUUUGGACACCAAGGGGAGAUUGGCCGGGGUGGUUGGAGAAGAGUCUGGCCACUGGGAGGCCCGACUCCAGGGGAAGACCACCUUUCCACUCCAUCCCCACUUCUGGCUUCCCCUGCAUCUCACUGAGAGCCACCUCCACCACUCAAUAAAACCUUGUACUCAUCCUUCAAGCCUGGGUGUGAUCCGAUUCUUUCGG
This 986-nucleotide long non-coding RNA is filed under the name Homo sapiens (human). RNAcentral describes it as "HSALNT0077403". The record is from RNAcentral. Lineage: Eukaryota; Metazoa; Chordata; Mammalia; Primates; Hominidae.